UAUCGACUGGAGUUGUACUGGCCAACCUGACCUGACCGGCUCGAAAUAGUCAAUAGAUCAAUCUUAUUGAUUGUCAAAAGCGACGAAAGAUAUUCCUAUUAGGUCGUUACCCUUCAAGAGAAAGGCUGGAAGGUGCAGUGACUGAUUCGACGCGGUAGAAAAAACCACGAAUUAAUCCAAUUGUAAUGCUCACAAAUAAGAUAGAGAACCUGGGUGAGCAGAGUGCUUAGUUCAGUGAACGGCACUGGAGGAUCUAUCGGUCCGAGGUCGCGAUGUCGUCGGUGAAGAACUUGUGCUGAGCCUUGUCUCCCCGUAAUUCAUUAUAGUUCCCCAUUAGCUUGCCGGGGACGCCUCAUGGGGAGCACCUUCCAGGCGGAACACGAUGGUGGCCAUGUGUCCAUAUAACCCAUUCCGGUUUGGUUCCGAAAGGGUAAAUCCGGUGAUAGCGAUAAUCCUUAAGAAAACAGGUCUAUUAUUUGGAACUUCGAUGUCGGCUUUUGAAUUGAUGAAAAGAAUUUCAGAACUAAGAAGUUUAAGCUUGCCUUUAAUUAUGUAAUUGUUUGAAAUAAAGAAAUAUUUUGUGAAAGAGAAUUAUUUUUUUUAGAAGAUAUCUAAUCAACUUUACUUUUGCGAUGAAAUUUUCAAAAUGCAUGGGCAUCCCCAUGUCAAAAUAUACAGAAUUGACUAACUGGCUGAAAGCUUUCGAAUGUGUAAAAGCUUUUUGCUCACGCUCUGUGUAAAG
Uranotaenia lowii is the source of this 742-nucleotide long non-coding RNA. RefSeq lists it as uncharacterized. The transcript has 3 exons. The record is from RefSeq and is a predicted model, not a curated record. Lineage: Eukaryota; Metazoa; Arthropoda; Insecta; Diptera; Culicidae.